Molecule: ribosomal RNA, 1554 nt
Filed under: Klebsiella pneumoniae
Lineage: Bacteria; Pseudomonadati; Pseudomonadota; Gammaproteobacteria; Enterobacterales; Enterobacteriaceae
Also listed under: 1 other name
Description: bacterial SSU rRNA
Rfam family: Bacterial small subunit ribosomal RNA
Source: RNAcentral
ACUUAAAUUGAAGAGUUUGAUCAUGGCUCAGAUUGAACGCUGGCGGCAGGCCUAACACAUGCAAGUCGAGCGGUAGCACAGAGAGCUUGCUCUCGGGUGACGAGCGGCGGACGGGUGAGUAAUGUCUGGGAAACUGCCUGAUGGAGGGGGAUAACUACUGGAAACGGUAGCUAAUACCGCAUAAUGUCGCAAGACCAAAGUGGGGGACCUUCGGGCCUCAUGCCAUCAGAUGUGCCCAGAUGGGAUUAGCUAGUAGGUGGGGUAACGGCUCACCUAGGCGACGAUCCCUAGCUGGUCUGAGAGGAUGACCAGCCACACUGGAACUGAGACACGGUCCAGACUCCUACGGGAGGCAGCAGUGGGGAAUAUUGCACAAUGGGCGCAAGCCUGAUGCAGCCAUGCCGCGUGUGUGAAGAAGGCCUUCGGGUUGUAAAGCACUUUCAGCGGGGAGGAAGGCGUUAAGGUUAAUAACCUUGUCGAUUGACGUUACCCGCAGAAGAAGCACCGGCUAACUCCGUGCCAGCAGCCGCGGUAAUACGGAGGGUGCAAGCGUUAAUCGGAAUUACUGGGCGUAAAGCGCACGCAGGCGGUCUGUCAAGUCGGAUGUGAAAUCCCCGGGCUCAACCUGGGAACUGCAUUCGAAACUGGCAGGCUAGAGUCUUGUAGAGGGGGGUAGAAUUCCAGGUGUAGCGGUGAAAUGCGUAGAGAUCUGGAGGAAUACCGGUGGCGAAGGCGGCCCCCUGGACAAAGACUGACGCUCAGGUGCGAAAGCGUGGGGAGCAAACAGGAUUAGAUACCCUGGUAGUCCACGCCGUAAACGAUGUCGAUUUGGAGGUUGUGCCCUUGAGGCGUGGCUUCCGGAGCUAACGCGUUAAAUCGACCGCCUGGGGAGUACGGCCGCAAGGUUAAAACUCAAAUGAAUUGACGGGGGCCCGCACAAGCGGUGGAGCAUGUGGUUUAAUUCGAUGCAACGCGAAGAACCUUACCUGGUCUUGACAUCCACAGAACUUUCCAGAGAUGGAUUGGUGCCUUCGGGAACUGUGAGACAGGUGCUGCAUGGCUGUCGUCAGCUCGUGUUGUGAAAUGUUGGGUUAAGUCCCGCAACGAGCGCAACCCUUAUCCUUUGUUGCCAGCGGUUCGGCCGGGAACUCAAAGGAGACUGCCAGUGAUAAACUGGAGGAAGGUGGGGAUGACGUCAAGUCAUCAUGGCCCUUACGACCAGGGCUACACACGUGCUACAAUGGCAUAUACAAAGAGAAGCGACCUCGCGAGAGCAAGCGGACCUCAUAAAGUAUGUCGUAGUCCGGAUUGGAGUCUGCAACUCGACUCCAUGAAGUCGGAAUCGCUAGUAAUCGUAGAUCAGAAUGCUACGGUGAAUACGUUCCCGGGCCUUGUACACACCGCCCGUCACACCAUGGGAGUGGGUUGCAAAAGAAGUAGGUAGCUUAACCUUCGGGAGGGCGCUUACCACUUUGUGAUUCAUGACUGGGGUGAAGUCGUAACAAGGUAACCGUAGGGGAACCUGCGGUUGGAUCACCUCCUUACCUUAAAGAA